GACGAACGCUGGCGGCGUGCUUAACACAUGCAAGUCGAACGGAAAGGCCCUGCUUUUGUGGGGUGCUCGAGUGGCGAACGGGUGAGUAACACGUGAGUAACCUGCCCUUGACUUUGGGAUAACUUCAGGAAACUGGGGCUAAUACCGGAUAUGAUCUCCUGCUGCAUGUGGGGGGUUGGAAAGUUUCGGCGGUUGGGGAUGGUCUCGCGGGUUAUCAGCCUGUUGGUGGGGUAGUGGCUUACAAAGGCUUUGACGGGUAGCCUGCCUGAGAGGGUGGCCGGCCACAUUGGGACUGCGGUACGGCCCAGACUGCUACGGGAGGCAGCAGUGGGGAAUUUUGCACAAUGGGCGGAAGCCUGAUGCAGCGACGCCGCGUGCGGGAUGACGGCCUUCGGGUUGUAAACCGCUUUCGACUGUGACGAAGCGUGCGUGACGGUAAUGGGUAAAGAAGCACCGGCUAACUACGUG
Molecule: ribosomal RNA, 468 nt
Filed under: uncultured bacterium
Lineage: Bacteria
Description: partial 16S ribosomal RNA
Rfam family: Bacterial small subunit ribosomal RNA
Source: RNAcentral